CCAGCUUCCUGAGUUGUGAAUCAGCCUAGGCUGUCACUUGAUUCAUCCUGACCAAGGAACCUUGGGAACCUCCCCAAACCUGAGUACUUUAGCCCAAAGAUGAGUAGUCACAGGGAGGUCUGUCCAUCCCAACCCUACUCUGCCCUCCAGUUUCCUUGUUGUUUCUUUGAGAUUAGAAUUCAAGGCAUUGUUAAGAAGCCGAAGUCCCACCCACAGUGGCCCCACCCUGUUGGAGGAGGCUGUGGGGCUUUGGAAAGGGACUCAUAGGCACACACAUUGUUUCUUUGAGAUCCCACUGAAUUAAACUCCUUUGUCCUACACUUAAUUCCAGGGGAAUUAGUCAGCAUUAAUGAGUAGUAGCUCAUCCUACUUUCCUCUCCGCCUGGAAGUCCACCCACUAGCUUCUCCUUCCAAACCCAUGGUUUUCAGUGCUUGUUUGGAGGCCCUUAGUUCUGUGAAGUUAACUCUUAAAGGGCCUCACUGGAUGAAGAGGCAAAGGCAGGAUGCACUGAGGCGUGCCUAGGCACCCUAUCAGGACCACUUCACAUUUUAUCCAUUGUCUCUUUACCACAGGUGUCAAGGUCCUCUCCCAUCUGGAGACAUGAAGCAAGGUAGGAUGGAGAAUGGAACUGCAGACAAACUUAAACAUCAGCCUGGGACCGAAAGCAAUGGAAGCACCAG
RNAcentral lists this long non-coding RNA (681 nucleotides) under Cricetulus griseus (Chinese hamster). Its description in RNAcentral is "lncRNA (ENSCGRG00015029487.1)". Lineage: Eukaryota; Metazoa; Chordata; Mammalia; Rodentia; Cricetidae. The record is from RNAcentral.